RNAcentral lists this transfer RNA (64 nucleotides) under Rhinotergum shaoguanense. RNAcentral's name for it is "tRNA-Gly". Lineage: Eukaryota; Metazoa; Arthropoda; Arachnida; Trombidiformes; Diptilomiopidae. The record is from RNAcentral.
AGUAAAAGCUUAGGCAAAUUUGUCUUCCAAACAAAUCUUUAAUUUACUAAUAUAUUUUUUAAUU